Molecule: non-coding RNA, 46 nt
Organism: Canis lupus familiaris (dog)
Lineage: Eukaryota; Metazoa; Chordata; Mammalia; Carnivora; Canidae
Source: Rfam
UUAAAGGCUCUUUUAAGAGCUACUCACAUUUUGCAAAUUGAGAGUU